GACGAACGCUGGCGGCGUGCCUAAUACAUGCAAGUCGAGCGGAUCUUCAUUAGCUUGCUUUUGAAGAUCAGCGGCGGACGGGUGAGUAACACGUGGGCAACCUGCCUGUAAGACUGGGAUAACUUCGGGAAACCGGAGCUAAUACCGGAUAAUCCUUUUCCUCUCAUGAGGAAAAGCUGAAAGACGGUUUCGGCUGUCACUUAUAGAUGGGCCCGCGGCGCAUUAGCUAGUUGGUGAGGUAACGGCUCACCAAGGCAACGAUGCGUAGCCGACCUGAGAGGGUGAUCGGCCACACUGGGACUGAGACACGGCCCAGACUCCUACGGGUGGCAG
Molecule: ribosomal RNA, 333 nt
Filed under: uncultured Bacillota bacterium
Lineage: Bacteria; Bacillati; Bacillota
Description: bacterial SSU rRNA
Rfam family: Bacterial small subunit ribosomal RNA
Source: RNAcentral